GCGAUUAUACCAGCACUAAUGCACCGGAUCCCAUCAGAACUCCGCAGU
This 48-nucleotide ribosomal RNA is filed under the name Chenopodium pedunculare. Lineage: Eukaryota; Viridiplantae; Streptophyta; Magnoliopsida; Caryophyllales; Amaranthaceae. The record is from RNAcentral.